GGUGAGUAAUAUAUAGGAAUCUACCUAAUAGUAAGGAAUAAGUAUUGGAAACGAUAUCUAAUACCAUAUACUACCAUUUAUUUGGGAAAGGGUUAGUCGCAAGAUUAACUCGCUAUUUGAUGAGCCUAUAUCGGAUUAGCUAGUUGGUGAGGUAAAGGCCCACCAAGGCGAUGAUCCGUAGCUGGUCUGAGAGGGUGAUCAGCCACAUUGGGACUGCGACACGGCCCAAACUCC
RNAcentral lists this ribosomal RNA (234 nucleotides) under uncultured bacterium. RNAcentral's name for it is "partial 16S ribosomal RNA". It matches the Rfam family "Bacterial small subunit ribosomal RNA", at positions 105 to 339 of the family's 1533-position model. The record is from RNAcentral.